This 1451-nucleotide ribosomal RNA is filed under the name Dasytinae gen. sp. G0193. RNAcentral's name for it is "SSU rRNA". It matches the Rfam family "Eukaryotic small subunit ribosomal RNA", at positions 32 to 1390 of the family's 1831-position model. Lineage: Eukaryota; Metazoa; Arthropoda; Insecta; Coleoptera; Melyridae. The record is from RNAcentral.
UUGUCUCAAAGAUUAAGCCAUGCAUGUCUCAGUACAAGCCAAACUAAGGUGAAACCGCGAAAGGCUCAUUAAAUCAGUUAUGGUUCCUUAGAUCGUACCCAAAUUUACUUGGAUAACUGUGGUAAUUCUAGAGCUAAUACAUGCAAACAGAGCUCCGACCGGAGACGGAAGGAGUGCUUUUAUUAGAUCAAAACCAAUCGGUGGCGGGUCCGCCCGUCAUCGCACAACUUGGUGACUCUGAAUAACUUUACGCUGAUCGCACGGUCUCGCACCGGCGACGCAUCUUUCAAAUGUCUGCCUUAUCAACUGUCGAUGGUAGGUUCUGCGCCUACCAUGGUUGUAACGGGUAACGGGGAAUCAGGGUUCGAUUCCGGAGAGGGAGCCUGAGAAACGGCUACCACAUCCAAGGAAGGCAGCAGGCGCGCAAAUUACCCACUCCCGGCACGGGGAGGUAGUGACGAAAAAUAACGAUACGGGACUCAUCCGAGGCCCCGUAAUCGGAAUGAGUACACUCUAAACCCUUUAACGAGGAUCAAUUGGAGGGCAAGUCUGGUGCCAGCAGCCGCGGUAAUUCCAGCUCCAAUAGCGUAUAUUAAAGUUGUUGCGGUUAAAAAGCUCGUAGUCGAAUCUGUGUCUCGCGCCGCCGGUUCAUCGUCCGCGGUGUUAACUGGCGUGUCGCGAGACGUAUUGCCGGUGGGCUUAGCCCGCAAGGGCGGCCCAAACAAUCCCGCCGCGGUGCUCUUCACUGAGUGUCGAGGUAGGCCGGCACGUUUACUUUGAACAAACUAGAGUGCUUAAAGCAGGCUAGAACUUUGCCUGAAUAUGUGUGCAUGGAAUAAUGGAAUAGGACCUCGGUUCUAUUUUGUUGGUUUUCGGAACCCCGAGGUAAUGAUUAAUAGGAACGGAUGGGGGCAUUCGUAUUGCGACGUUAGAGGUGAAAUUCUUGGACCGUCGCAAGACGAACAGAAGCGAAAGCAUUUGCCAAAAACGCUUUCAUUGAUCAAGAACGAAAGUCAGAGGUUCGAAGGCGAUCAGAUACCGCCCUAGUUCUGACCAUAAACCAUGCCAGCUAGCGAUCCGCCGACGUUCCUCCGAUGACUCGGCGGGCAGCUUCCGGGAAACCAAAGCUAUUGGGUUCCGGGGGAAGUAUGGUUGCAAAGCUGAAACUUAAAGGAAUUGACGGAAGGGCACCACCAGGAGUGGAGCCUGCGGCUUAAUUUGACUCAACACGGGAAACCUCACCAGGCCCGGACACCGGAAGGAUUGACAGAUUGAGAGCUCUUUCUUGAUUCGGUGGGUGGUGGUGCAUGGCCGUUCUUAGUUGGUGGAGCGAUUUGUCUGGUUAAUUCCGAUAACGAACGAGACUCUAGCCUGCUAACUAGGCGUAUUUCGACAUCCCAAAGGCCCGGCGGCCCGGGGCUCGCCCCGGCGUCGCGUGCGGUUUUUNCNGU